AAUGCCCCUCAAUAGAGAUGAAAAUAAAACAGAUAAUGUGAGCUAAGCCCUUUCGUACUGGCUAAGGGAAUUGUGGUCUGCAGGGGAGUUUCCUUUUCCUGCUGCUCCCCCUCACCCCCUCCAUGUGCAGUUAUUCCUACCUGAUCGCAGGUGCAAGCCUGGAUUUCUGCUGGGUCUUCUGCUGCCUUGUUAGAAUCUAAGCUGUCAUGUCCACAUGCUCUACAUCUUCCUCCACUGAACUGCGAGCCCACUUCUG
This 256-nucleotide long non-coding RNA is filed under the name Homo sapiens (human). RNAcentral's name for it is "non-protein coding lnc-UGGT2-1:2". The record is from RNAcentral. Lineage: Eukaryota; Metazoa; Chordata; Mammalia; Primates; Hominidae.